GCGACCCCAGGAUGGGCGGGGCCACCCGCCGA
Molecule: ribosomal RNA, 32 nt
Filed under: Nervilia gammieana
Lineage: Eukaryota; Viridiplantae; Streptophyta; Magnoliopsida; Asparagales; Orchidaceae
Description: partial 26S ribosomal RNA
Source: RNAcentral